UACGGAGGAUGCAAGCGUUAUCCGGAUUUAUUGGGUUUAAAGGGUGCGCAGGUUGUUUGAUAAGUCAGUGGUGAAAGUCUGUCGCUUAACGGUAGGAUUGCCAUUGAUACUGUUGGACUUGAAUAUGGAUGAGGUAGGCGGAAUGUGUAGUGUAGCGGUGAAAUGCAUAGAUAUUACACAGAACACCGAUUGCGAAGGCAGCUUACUAAUCCAUCAUUGACGCUGAGGCACGAAAGCGUGGGUAUCAAACA
RNAcentral lists this ribosomal RNA (251 nucleotides) under uncultured prokaryote. RNAcentral describes it as "partial 16S ribosomal RNA". It matches the Rfam family "Bacterial small subunit ribosomal RNA", at positions 524 to 774 of the family's 1533-position model. The record is from RNAcentral.